UACGUAGGUGGCAAGCGUUGUCCGGAUUUACUGGGCGUAAAGAGCGCGCAGGCGGUCGUUCAAGUCGCGUGUGAAAGCCCCCGGCUCAACUGGGGAGGGUCACGCGAUACUGAUCGACUCGAAGGCAGGAGAGGGUAGUGGAAUUCCCGGUGUAGUGGUGAAAUGCGUAGAUAUCGGGAGGAGCACCAGGGGCGAAGGCGACUACCUGGCCUGUUUCUUGACGCUGAGGCGCGAAAGCUAGGGGAGCAAACGGG
RNAcentral lists this ribosomal RNA (254 nucleotides) under uncultured bacterium. RNAcentral describes it as "partial 16S ribosomal RNA". It matches the Rfam family "Bacterial small subunit ribosomal RNA", at positions 524 to 776 of the family's 1533-position model. The record is from RNAcentral.